RNAcentral lists this ribosomal RNA (460 nucleotides) under uncultured bacterium. RNAcentral describes it as "partial 16S ribosomal RNA". It matches the Rfam family "Bacterial small subunit ribosomal RNA", at positions 338 to 795 of the family's 1533-position model. The record is from RNAcentral.
CCUACGGGAGGCAGCAGUGAGGAAUAUUGGACAAUGGGCGCGAGCCUGAACCAGCGAAGUAGCGUGAAGGAUGACUGCCCUACGGGUUGUAAACUUCUUUUAUAAAGGAAUAAAGUGAGGCACGGGUGCCUUUUUGUAUGUACUUUAUGAAUAAGGAUCGGCUAACGCCGUGCCAGCAGCCGCGGUAAUACGUAGUAGCCGAGCGUUAGCCGGAUUGAUUGGGGUUAAAGGAAGCGUAGAUGGGUUGUUAAGUCAGUUGUGAAAGUCUGCGGCUCAACCGUAAAAUUGCAAAUGAUACUGGCAGUCUUGAGUACAGUUGAGGUAGGCGGAAUUCGUGGUGUAGCGGUGAAAUGCGUAGAUAUCACGAAGAACUCCGAUUGCGAAGGCAGCUUACUAAACUGCCACUGACAUUGAUGCUCGAAAGUGUGGGUAUCAAACAGGAUUAGAUACCCGUGUAGUC